RNAcentral lists this ribosomal RNA (497 nucleotides) under uncultured bacterium. RNAcentral's name for it is "partial 16S ribosomal RNA". It matches the Rfam family "Bacterial small subunit ribosomal RNA", at positions 28 to 507 of the family's 1533-position model. The record is from RNAcentral.
GAUGAACGCUGGCGGCGUGCCUAAUACAUGCAAGUCGAGCGAACAGACGAGGAGCUUGCUCCUCUGACGUUAGCGGCGGACGGGUGAGUAACACGUGGAUAACCUACCUAUAAGACUGGGAUAACUUCGGGAAACCGGAGCUAAUACCGGAUAAUAUAUUGAACCUCAUGGUUCAAUAGUGAAAGACGGUUUUGCUGUCACUUAUAGAUGGAUCCGCGCCGCAUUAGCUAGUUGGUAAGGUAACGGCUUACCAAGGCAACGAUGCGUAGCCGACCUGAGAGGGUGAUCAGCCACACUGGAACUGAGACACGGUCCAGACUCCUACGGGAGGCAGCAGUAGGGAAUCUUCCGCAAUGGGCGAAAGCCUGACGGAGCAACGCCGCGUGAGUGAUGAAGGUCUUCGGAUCGUAAAACUCUGUUAUUAGGGAAGAACAAAUGUGUAAGUAACUAUGCACGUCUUGACGGUACCUAAUCAGAAAGCCACGGCUAACUACGUG